AGAGCGAACGCUGGCGGCAGGCCUAACACAUGCAAGUCGAACGGACCCUUCGGGGUUAGUGGCGGACGGGUGAGUAACACGUGGGAACGUGCCUUUUGGUUCGGAAUAGCUCCUGGAAACGGGUGGUAAUGCCGAAUGUGCCCUUCGGGGGAAAGAUUUAUCGCCAUUAGAGCGGCCCGCGUCUGAUUAGCUAGUUGGUGAGGUAAUGGCUCACCAAGGCGACGAUCAGUAGCUGGUCUGAGAGGAUGACCAGCCACAUUGGGACUGAGACACGGCCCAAACUCCGUACGGGAGCAGCAGGUGGGGAAUC
RNAcentral lists this ribosomal RNA (310 nucleotides) under uncultured soil bacterium. RNAcentral's name for it is "bacterial SSU rRNA". It matches the Rfam family "Bacterial small subunit ribosomal RNA", at positions 26 to 363 of the family's 1533-position model. The record is from RNAcentral.